GUACUGUAUCAAGGUACUGCAUCAAGGUACUGCAUCAAGGUACUGCAUCAAGGUACUUUAUCAAGGUACUGUAUCAAGGUACUGCAUCAAGGUACUUUAUCAAGGUACUGUAUCAAGGUACUGCAUCAAGGUACUGCAUCAAGGUACUUUAUCAAGGUACUGCAUCAAGGUACUUUAUCAAGGUACUGUAUCAAGGUACUGUAUCAAGAGCGCAGAUCUAGGAUCAGAUCCCCUCUGACCUGACCCAGUCCAUGUUAUCUUAUCAGACCCCC
Long non-coding RNA from Oncorhynchus keta (chum salmon), 272 nucleotides. RefSeq lists it as uncharacterized. The record is from RefSeq and is a predicted model, not a curated record. The transcript is spliced from 3 exons. NCBI's taxonomy places the organism in Eukaryota, Metazoa, Chordata, Actinopteri, Salmoniformes, Salmonidae.